GUGUACUCUUUAGACGGUUCUA
Molecule: microRNA, 22 nt
Filed under: Haemonchus contortus (barber pole worm)
Lineage: Eukaryota; Metazoa; Nematoda; Chromadorea; Rhabditida; Trichostrongylidae
Description: hco-miR-5984a
Source: miRBase by way of RNAcentral